UACAGAGGUCCCGAGCGUUGUUCGGAUUCACUGGGCGUAAAGGGUGCGUAGGUGGUGAGGUAAGUCGGAUGUGAAAUCUCCAAGCUCAACUUGGAAAUGGCAUUGGAAACUACCUUGCUGGAGGUUUGGAGGGGGGACUGGAAUUCUCGGUGUAGCAGUGAAAUGCGUAGAUAUCGAGAGGAACACCAGUGGCGAAGGCGAGUCCCUGGACAAAACCUGACACUGAGGCACGAAAGCGUGGGGAGCAAACAGG
This 253-nucleotide ribosomal RNA is filed under the name uncultured bacterium. RNAcentral's name for it is "partial 16S ribosomal RNA". It matches the Rfam family "Bacterial small subunit ribosomal RNA", at positions 524 to 776 of the family's 1533-position model. The record is from RNAcentral.